This 479-nucleotide ribosomal RNA is filed under the name uncultured bacterium. Its description in RNAcentral is "partial 16S ribosomal RNA". It matches the Rfam family "Bacterial small subunit ribosomal RNA", at positions 28 to 507 of the family's 1533-position model. The record is from RNAcentral.
GAUGAACGCUAGCGGGAGGCCUAACACAUGCAAGCCGAGCGGUAUUGUUUCUUCGGAAAUGAGAGAGCGGCGUACGGGUGCGGAACACGUGUGCAACCUGCCUUUAUCUGGGGGAUAGCCUUUCGAAAGGAAGAUUAAUACUCCAUAACAUAUUGAACGGCAUCGUUCGAUAUUGAAAGCUCCGGCGGAUAGAGAUGGGCACGCGCAAGAUUAGCUAGUUGGUGAGGUAACGGCUCACCAAGGCGAUGAUCUUUAGGGGGCCUGAGAGGGUGAUCCCCCACACUGGUACUGAGACACGGACCAGACUCCUACGGGAGGCAGCAGUGAGGAAUAUUGGUCAAUGGGUGCAAGCCUGAACCAGCCAUCCCGCGUGAAGGACGACUGCCCUAUGGGUUGUAAACUUCUUUUGUAUAGGGAUAAACCUGCCCUCGUGAGGGUAGCUGAAGGUACUAUACGAAUAAGCACCGGCUAACUCCGUG